GGAAACCCUCUGCUAGGGUUUUUUUAACCCAACUUCUCCUAGCCGCCGCAACCACCUCGACGGACCAGAGGUCCUCCCCGGCUCCGAUUCGGCAGCAGGUUUCUUCCUCGCAGGUAAGUAUAUCCUUUCUCUUUUCUUUUGCUAUUUCGUUUAUUAAAUAGAAAACAACCCCUAAAACAUGAAAUAAGAAAAUAGUAAAAAGAGAAAACGAAAACACAAAUUCACCUUCAAAAUCUUUUGCUUUUCUGUCACUUUCUUUUUGUAUUUUUUCUCUUUUUAGUACAAAAUUUUUCUAACCCCGUUACAGAAAUCCAUUGGCCUUUAUAUAGCCCUCCUUAAAUCCUUUUACAACUGUUUUGUUGUGUAUUCGGUCACUGCCUGUUCUUGGUUUGUUUGUAGGACGAACGUGCAUGGUGAACGCAAGGGACCGCUGAACGUGGGUGAUUGCGACGUGGGGUGAUAGGGUCGUUGCUGCAGAUGGAGAACGUGCGGCGCGCCCUAGGGCUUCUACUUCCAUUGCUACUGAAAACAUGUUGUGGGCUAGGGUUAAUUUUGGGCCAAUUGGGCCAAAUGUAUUUGGGUCGUUGUUUUAUUUUGGUAGGCUAAAUGUUGGGACUGAUGUAGUGUGGGCUUUAGGUUUAGUUGGGCUCGGGCAAAAUUUAGGUCUUAC
RNAcentral lists this long non-coding RNA (670 nucleotides) under Gossypium raimondii (Peruvian cotton). Its description in RNAcentral is "long non-coding RNA (GRAI_LNC002515)". Lineage: Eukaryota; Viridiplantae; Streptophyta; Magnoliopsida; Malvales; Malvaceae. The record is from RNAcentral.